This 28-nucleotide small RNA is filed under the name Bombyx mori (domestic silkworm). Its description in RNAcentral is "ovarian small RNA-4282". Lineage: Eukaryota; Metazoa; Arthropoda; Insecta; Lepidoptera; Bombycidae. The record is from RNAcentral.
AAGCAUCGGUUGCCCCUCUCGUCCACGA